GACGAACGCUGGCGGCGUGCCUAACACAUGCAAGUCGAACGGAACUGUUUUGAAAGAUUUCUUCGGAAUGAAUUUGAUUUAGUUUAGUGGCGGACGGGUGAGUAACGCGUGAGUAACCUGCCUUCAAGAGGGGAAUAACAUUCUGAAAAGAAUGCUAAUACCGCAUGACAUAUCGGAACCACAUGGUUUUGAUAUCAAAGAUUUUAUCGCUUGAAGAUGGACUCGCGUCCGAUUAGUUAGUUGGUGAGGUAACGGCUCACCAAGACCGCGAUCGGUAGCCGGACUGAGAGGUUGAACGGCCACAUUGGGACUGAGACACGGCCCAGACUCCUACGGGAGACAGCAGUGGGGGAUAUUGCGCAAUGGGGGCAACCCUGACGCAGCAACGCCGCGUGAAGGAUGAAGGUUUUCGGAUUGUAAACUUCUUUUAUUAAGGACGAAAAAUGACGGUACUUAAUGAAUAAGCUCCGGCUAACUACGUG
RNAcentral lists this ribosomal RNA (482 nucleotides) under uncultured bacterium. Its description in RNAcentral is "partial 16S ribosomal RNA". It matches the Rfam family "Bacterial small subunit ribosomal RNA", at positions 28 to 507 of the family's 1533-position model. The record is from RNAcentral.